AACGAACGCUGGCGGCAUGCCUAACACAUGCAAGUCGAACGAGAAGUCCCGGUCUAGUGGCGCUCCUCUGCUUGACGCCGGGUAACCUGCACUUAGGUUACCAAUCACUCACCGUAAGGUGUCCUAAUACCGGUUCAUGUAUUACGACCAAAGAUGUCUCGCCUUUGGAUGGGCCCUCGUUGGGUUAGCUGGUUGGUAGUGUAAUAGCCUACCAAGGCGAGGAUCCAGAGCUGGUCUGAGAGGAGGAGAGAUCACACUUGGACUGCGACACGGCCCAGACUCCGACGGAGGGGUGGAGUGGGGAAUAGUGGACAAGGAGCGAAAGUCUGAUCCAGCAGUGCCGCGUGAGUGAUGAAUGGCUUAGGGUUGUAAUUCUCUUUUACCCGGGAUGAUAAUGACGGUAAUGGGAGAAGAAGCUCCGGCUAACUACGUG
Molecule: ribosomal RNA, 433 nt
Filed under: uncultured bacterium
Lineage: Bacteria
Description: partial 16S ribosomal RNA
Rfam family: Bacterial small subunit ribosomal RNA
Source: RNAcentral